This 450-nucleotide ribosomal RNA is filed under the name uncultured bacterium. RNAcentral describes it as "partial 16S ribosomal RNA". It matches the Rfam family "Bacterial small subunit ribosomal RNA", at positions 354 to 796 of the family's 1533-position model. The record is from RNAcentral.
GUGGGGAAUAUUGGACAAUGGGCGAAAGCCUGAUCCAGCCAUGCCGCGUGUGUGAAGAAGGCCUUCGGGUUGUAAAGCACUUUUGGCAGGAAAGAAAUAGUGCGUGCUAAUACCAUGCGCGAAUGACGGUACCUGCAGAAUAAGCACCGGCUAACUACGUGCCAGCAGCCGCGGUAAGACGUAGGGUGCAAGCGUUAAUCGGAAUUACUGGGCGUAAAGCGUGCGCAGGCGGUUUUGUAAGACAGGUGUGAAAUCCCCGGGCUCAACCUGGGAACUGCACUUGUGACUGCAAGGCUAGAGUGUGUCAGAGGGAGGUGGAAUUCCGCGUGUAGCAGUGAAAUGCGUAGAGAUGCGGAGGAACACCGAUGGCGAAGGCAGCCUCCUGGGAUAACACUGACGCUCAGGCACGAAAGCGUGGGGAGCAAACAGGAUUAGAAACCCGUGUAGUCC